GGAGGCAUAGCUCAGUGGUAGAGUGUGUGCUUGGCAUGCACAAGGUCUUGGGUUCAGUCUCCAGUGCCUCUG
RNAcentral lists this transfer RNA (72 nucleotides) under Camelus bactrianus (Bactrian camel). It matches the Rfam family "tRNA". From Rfam's summary of the family: Transfer RNA (tRNA) molecules are approximately 80 nucleotides in length. Their secondary structure includes four short double-helical elements and three loops (D, anti-codon, and T loops). Lineage: Eukaryota; Metazoa; Chordata; Mammalia; Artiodactyla; Camelidae. RNAcentral also lists the same sequence under 3 other names. The record is from Rfam by way of RNAcentral.